GAAGGNCCUUCGGGGUACUCGAGUGGCGAACGGGUGAGUAACACNUGNGUGAUCUGCCCUGCACUUUGGGAUAAGCCUGGGAAACUGGGUCUAAUACCGAAUAGGACCACGCGCUUCAUGGUGUGUGGUGGAAAGCUUUUGCGGUGUGGGAUGGGCCCGCGGCCUAUCAGCUUGUUGGUGGGGUAAUGGCCUACCAAGGCGACGACGGGUAGCCGGCCUGAGAGGGUGACCGGCCACACUGGGACUGAGAUACGGCCCAGACUCCUACGGGAGGCAGCAGUGGGGAAUAUUGCACAAUGGGCGCAAGCCUGAUGCAGCGACGCCGCGUGAGGGAUGACGGCCUUCGGGUUGUAAACCUCUUUCAAUAGGGACGAAGCGCAAGUGACGGUACCUAUAGAAGAAGCACCGGCCAACUACGUGCCAGCAGCCGCGGUAAUACGUAGGGUGCGAGCGUUGUCCGGAAUUACUGGGCGUAAAGAGCUCGUAGGUGGUUUGUCGCGUUGUUCGUGAAAACUCACAGCUUAACUGUGGGCGUGCGGGCGAUACGGGCAGACUAGAGUACUGCAGGGGAGACUGGAAUUCCUGGUGUAGCGGUGGAAUGCGCAGAUAUCAGGAGGAACACCGGUGGCGAANGCGGGUCUCUGGGCAGUAACUGACGCUGAGGAGCGAAAGCGUGGGGAGCGAACAGGAUUANAUACCCUGGUAGUCCACGCCGUAAACGGUGGGUACUAGGUGUGGGUUCCUUCCUUGGGAUCCGUGCCGUANCUAACGCAUUAAGUACCCCGCCUGGGGAGUACGGCCGCAAGGCUAAAACUCAAAGGAAUUGACGGGGGCCCGCACAAGCGGCGGAGCAUGUGGAUUAAUUCNAUGCAACGCGAANAACCUUACCUGGGUUUGANNUGCACAGGACGCCGGCAGANAUGUCNGUNCCCUUGUGGNCUGUGUGCAGGUGGUGCAUGGCUGUCGUCAGCUC
RNAcentral lists this ribosomal RNA (973 nucleotides) under Mycolicibacterium mucogenicum. RNAcentral's name for it is "bacterial SSU rRNA". It matches the Rfam family "Bacterial small subunit ribosomal RNA", at positions 69 to 1061 of the family's 1533-position model. Lineage: Bacteria; Bacillati; Actinomycetota; Actinomycetes; Mycobacteriales; Mycobacteriaceae. The record is from RNAcentral.